RNAcentral lists this ribosomal RNA (582 nucleotides) under uncultured bacterium. RNAcentral describes it as "partial 16S ribosomal RNA". It matches the Rfam family "Bacterial small subunit ribosomal RNA", at positions 355 to 932 of the family's 1533-position model. The record is from RNAcentral.
UGGGGAAUCUUCCGCAAUGGACGAAAGUCUGACGGAGCAACGCCGCGUGAGUGAAGAAGGUUUUCGGAUCGUAAAACUCUGUCUUUUGGGGCGAACGUGAGUAUGGUGAACAAUCAUAGUCAGUGACGGUACCAAAGGAGGAAGCCACGGCUAACUACGUGCCAGCAGCCGCGGUAAUACGUAGGUGGCAAGCGUUGUCCGGAAUUAUUGGGCGUAAAGAGCGCGUAGGCGGGAUAGUCAGUCUGUUGUAAAAGUGCGGGGCUCAACCCCGUGAUGGCAAUGGAAACAGCUAUUCUUGAGUGCAGGAGAGGAAAGUGGAAUUCCCAGUGUAGCGGUGAAAUGCGUAGAUAUUGGGAGGAACACCAGUGGCGAAGGCGACUUUCUGGACUGUGUCUGACGCUGAGGCGCGAAAGCCAGGGGAGCGAACGGGAUUAGAUACCCCGGUAGUCCUGGCCGUAAACGAUGGGUACUAGGUGUGGGAGGUAUCGACCCCUUCCGUGCCGGAGUUAACGCAAUAAGUACCCCGCCUGGGGAGUACGGUCGCAAGACUGAAACUCAAAUGAAUUGACGGGGUCAUAGCUG